AUUUUUGCUCUCGCAUCCAUUCAUCUCUCCCUUCCAUCUCCUCCUGCUACUAUUAGCAACACACGCAUUUAUAGAUACACACACAAAGAAGAAGAAGCAGGGAGGCCAGCGUUCUACUUGCACAGGUGAGAAGGUUAGAUAUGAUGAUGGUCUCAUCUCCUUAGUUUCGGCCGCUUGGUUCGGAUCGAGGAGCUCUCUCUUCUCACAUAUGAAAUAUUGUCCUUAGUUUCGGCCGUUUGGUUCGGAUCAAGGAACUCUCUCUUCUCACAUAUGAAAUAUUGUCCUUAGUUCGGCCGCUUGGUUCGGAUCAAGGAGUUCUUUCUUCUCGCAUAUGAAAUAUUGUCN
This 345-nucleotide long non-coding RNA is filed under the name Hordeum vulgare. Its description in RNAcentral is "long non-coding RNA (HVUL_LNC011849)". The record is from RNAcentral. Lineage: Eukaryota; Viridiplantae; Streptophyta; Magnoliopsida; Poales; Poaceae.